RNAcentral lists this ribosomal RNA (1061 nucleotides) under Arthrobacter sp. N12(2016). RNAcentral's name for it is "bacterial SSU rRNA". It matches the Rfam family "Bacterial small subunit ribosomal RNA", at positions 38 to 1089 of the family's 1533-position model. Lineage: Bacteria; Bacillati; Actinomycetota; Actinomycetes; Micrococcales; Micrococcaceae. The record is from RNAcentral.
GGGGGGUCGUCAUUAUACCAUGCAGUCGAACGAUGAUCUCCAGCUUGCUGGGGGGAUUAGUGGCGAACGGGUGAGUAACACGUGAGUAACCUGCCCUUGACUCUGGGAUAAGCCUGGGAAACUGGGUCUAAUACCGGAUAUGACUCCUCAUCGCAUGGUGGGGGGUGGAAAGCUUUUGUGGUUUUGGAUGGACUCGCGGCCUAUCAGCUUGUUGGUGAGGUAAUGGCUCACCAAGGCGACGACGGGUAGCCGGCCUGAGAGGGUGACCGGCCACACUGGGACUGAGACACGGCCCAGAUCCUACGGGAGGCAGCAGUGGGGAAUAUUGCACAAUGGGCGAAAGCCUGAUGCAGCGACGCCGCGUGAGGGAUGACGGCCUUCGGGUUGUAAACCUCUUUCAGUAGGGAAGAAGCGAAAGUGACGGUACCUGCAGAAGAAGCGCCGGCUAACUACGUGCCAGCAGCCGCGGUAAUACCUAGGGCGCAAGCGUUAUCCGGAAUUAUUGGGCGUAAAGAGCUCGUACGCGGUUUGUCGCGUCUGCCGUGAAAGUCCGGGGCUCAACUCCGGAUCUGCGGUGGGUACGGGCAGACUAGAGUGAUGUAGGGGAGACUGGAAUUCCUGGUGUAGCGGUGAAAUGCGCACAUAUCAGGAGGAACACCGAUGGCGAAGGCAGGUCUCUGGGCAUUAACUGACGCUGAGGAGCGAAAGCAUGGGGAGCGAACAGGAUUAGAUACCCUGGUAGUCCAUGCCGUAAACGUUGGGGCACUAGGUGUGGGGGACAUUCCACGUUUUCCGCGCCGUAGACUAACGCAUUAAGUGCCCCGCCUGGGGAGUACGGCCGCAAGGCUAAAACUCAAAGGAAUUGACUGGGGGCCCGCACAAGUCGGACGGGAGCUAUGCUAGAUUAAAUUCGAUGCAUCGCGGAGAAACCCUUUACCCAAAGGCUUGACAUGCACUGGUAAAAUACCUGGGAAACAGUGCCCCGCUUGGCCGUCCGUCACAGUGGUGCCAUGGAUGUCGUCAGCUCUGUCGGGCGAUCGAUUCGGGGAUUAAAGAUCCCG